GAUGACGUCAAGUCUUCAUGCCCCUUACAUCCAGGGCUGCAAACAUGCUACAAUGGCCGGUACAAAGGGCUGCUAUCCCGCGAGGGUGAGCGAAUCCCAAAAAGCCGGUCUCAGUUCGGAUUGGAGUCUGCAACUCGACUCCAUGAAGUCGGAGUCGCUAGUAAUCCCGGAUCAGCAACGCCGGGGUGAAUACGUUCCCGGGCCUUGUACACACCGCCCGUCACACCACGAAAGUCGGCAACACCCGAAGCCAGUGGCCCAACCCGCAAGGGAGGGAGCUGUCGAAGGUGGGGUCGGUGAUUGGGGUGAAGUCGUAACAAGGUAGCCGUACCGGAAGGUGCGGCUGGAUCACCUCCUUUCNN
This 362-nucleotide ribosomal RNA is filed under the name uncultured Acidimicrobiales bacterium. Its description in RNAcentral is "SSU rRNA". It matches the Rfam family "Bacterial small subunit ribosomal RNA", at positions 1178 to 1533 of the family's 1533-position model. Lineage: Bacteria; Bacillati; Actinomycetota; Acidimicrobiia; Acidimicrobiales. The record is from RNAcentral.